CUGCGGUGCAUUUCUUGCAGUCCUGAUGCAUGGAGAAAUGCUCAACUCCUGAUGCAUGGAGAAAAGGCCUUCACAAGCCUCUGCUAUUGUGUACAUACUAGUUUAUACUAAGUGACCCAUAAGUUCAGGAGGCGGUGACCGUGUUUCUGCGCCUACCAUGGUGACCACGGGUAACAGGGAAUCAGGGUUCCAUUCCAUACAGGGACCCUGAGAAACGGCUACCACAUGCAAGGAAGGCAGCAGACGUGCAAAUGACCCACUCCCGACGCGGGAAGAUAGUGAUGACAAAUAACAAUACAGGACUCUUUAGAGGCCCUGUAAUUGUAAUGAGUCCACUUGAAAUCCUUUAACUAUCAUCAAUUGCAGAGCCACUGACCCAUGCGUGCUGCAG
Non-coding RNA from Pelobates cultripes (western spadefoot toad), 391 nucleotides. The record is from the annotation of a GenBank genome assembly. NCBI's taxonomy places the organism in Eukaryota, Metazoa, Chordata, Amphibia, Anura, Pelobatidae.